CAGCAGCCGCGUUAAUACGUAGGUGGCAAGCGUUGUCCGGAAUUAUUGGGCGUAAAGCGUGCGCAGGCGGUUUUGUAAGACAGGCGUGAAAUCCCCGGGCUCAACCUGGGAAUGGCGCUUGUGACUGCGAAGCUAGAGUGCGGCAGAGGGGGAUGGAAUUCCGCGUGUAGCAGUGAAAUGCGUAGAUAUGCGGAGGAACACCGAUGGCGAAGGCAAUCCCCUGGGCCUGCACUGACGCUCAUGCACGAAAGCGUGGGGAGCAAACAGGAUUAGAUACCCCGGUAGUCCCUGUCUCUUAUAC
RNAcentral lists this ribosomal RNA (301 nucleotides) under uncultured bacterium. RNAcentral describes it as "partial 16S ribosomal RNA". It matches the Rfam family "Bacterial small subunit ribosomal RNA", at positions 509 to 807 of the family's 1533-position model. The record is from RNAcentral.